This 694-nucleotide long non-coding RNA is filed under the name Homo sapiens (human). RNAcentral describes it as "non-protein coding lnc-TPRKB-1:3". The record is from RNAcentral. Lineage: Eukaryota; Metazoa; Chordata; Mammalia; Primates; Hominidae.
GGGAGCUCUUCCGAGACGCACUGGGGGCCGGAUGUAGAAUCCUGCUUAUCUGUGAAAUGCAGUUAACACAUCAGCUGGACCUAUUUCCCGAAUGCAGGGUAACCCUUCUGUUAUUUAAAGAUGUAAAAAAUGCGGGAGACUUGAGAAGAAAGGCCAUGGAAGGCACCAUCGAUGGAUCACUGAUAAAUCCUACAGUGUUUCACUCUUGUUGCCCAGGCUGGAGUGCAAUGGCGCGAUCUUGGCUCACGGCAACCUCUGCCUCCCGGGUUCAAGCAAUUGUCCUGCCUCAGCCUCCUGAGUUGCUGGGAUUACAGAUUGUUGAUCCAUUUCAGAUACUUGUGGCAGCAAACAAAGCAGUUCACCUCUACAAACUGGGAAAAAUGAAGACAAGAACUCUAUCUACUGAAAUUAUUUUCAACCUUUCCCCAAAUAACAAUGUAAUGUGCACUUUCCUAUUUCUGUUGACCGUGUCAUAAUAACAUAUGUGUUCCUCAGUGUUGGGUUGGAGGCUAAAUUCCUGCAAGCCAGUGGUUAGUAAUAAACCCAAAUAAUAGUGAAGAGAGCUCUGGACAGAGAGUUGAGGUUUAACCCUGCCUCUUACUAAGACAGUUUACAUAUGAGUAAACAAAAAUUUAGCUAAAUUAAGCGAGGUUAAUUUUAUCUGUUCUUACCAUAUAGGGUCAGGAAGACCCCU